This 253-nucleotide ribosomal RNA is filed under the name uncultured bacterium. Its description in RNAcentral is "partial 16S ribosomal RNA". It matches the Rfam family "Bacterial small subunit ribosomal RNA", at positions 524 to 776 of the family's 1533-position model. The record is from RNAcentral.
UACGUAGGUGGCAAGCGUUGUCCGGAUUUACUGGGCGUAAAGCGUGCGCAGGCGGUUUUGUAAGUCUGUCGUGAAAUCCCCGGGCUCAACCUGGGAAUUGCGAUGGAGACUGCAAGGCUAGAAUCUGGCAGAGGGGGGUAGAAUUCCACGUGUAGCAGUGAAAUGCGUAGAGAUGUGGAGGAACACCGAUGGCGAAGGCAGCCCCCUGGGUCAAGAUUGACGCUCAUGCACGAAAGCGUGGGGAGCAAACAGG